GAUGAAGAACGUAGCGAAAUGCGAUAAGUAAUGUGAAUUGCAGAAUUCAGUGAAUCAUCGAAUCUUUGAACGCACAUUGCGCCCCUUGGUAUUCCGGGGGGCAUGCCUGUUCGAGCGUCAUUUCAACCCUCAAGCUUCUGCUUGGUCUUGGGCCGUGCCGGCAACGGCUGGCCUUAAAACUAGUGGCGGUGCCAUCGAGCUCUACGCGUAGUAAUUCUAUCUCGCGUCUGGGCUUCGGUGGACGCUGGCCAGCAACCCCCAAUUUUCUAUGGUUGACCUCGGAUCAGGUAGGGAUACCCGCUGAACUUAAGCAUAUCAAUAAGCGGGGA
Molecule: unclassified non-coding RNA, 329 nt
Filed under: soil metagenome
Description: partial contains 5.8S ribosomal RNA, internal transcribed spacer 2, and large subunit ribosomal RNA
Rfam family: 5.8S ribosomal RNA (bases 1-120)
Source: RNAcentral